Long non-coding RNA from Acipenser ruthenus (sterlet), 668 nucleotides. RefSeq lists it as uncharacterized. The transcript is spliced from 3 exons. Lineage: Eukaryota; Metazoa; Chordata; Actinopteri; Acipenseriformes; Acipenseridae. The record is from RefSeq and is a predicted model, not a curated record.
CACCACAGGCAAACAGCUUUUAUUUUGUGUGUGCUGGGGACGGGGGUGCGGUGGGCAACAUCUUAGCAGCAGGGUUGCCAACUAUUUUUACAAAAACCCGUCCACUUCUUCCUGAAAACCUGCCCAAUCAGGAGCGAUGGAAUGGUCUACAGUAUGAAAGGCAGCACUUAGAUCAAGAAGAAUUAAAACUGAAGGAAAGCCCAAGUCCGAGCUUAUCAGCAGAUCCUUCACACUCUGACAAGGGCUGUCUCGGUGCUAUGUGCAGCACAAAAACCAGACAUUAACAGCUCAGCUCAUCGCUACCACCCUCACGCUGAAUCAGGAGCGGCAAAGACGAACACACACUGUCCUCCGAAGCAUGUGCUGUCAGCCGACCGCUUCUUUUCACUCUGCAGGCCCGCCAUGCAGCCAACCCAGAGCUACAGCGUCAGAGGACAAUGCAGCUCUGGGCAGCUUACAGGCAAGCCCGCAGACGCCCGGCCAGUCUACAGGGGUUGCUGCUGCGCAGUGAGCUGAGGACACCCUGGCCGACCUAAACAAUUGAGGCAACCUUGACCAUCACUUUUACAAUUUUCCCCAAGAGGAGGGAGCUGCUGCCUACAGAGAAGGAGCGAGGAGGGGAGGUCAGGAGACCACCUCCACCAGCAUUAGUUUCGCUGCAAGAUUUU